RNAcentral lists this small RNA (571 nucleotides) under Pongo abelii (Sumatran orangutan). RNAcentral describes it as "retained intron". The record is from RNAcentral. Lineage: Eukaryota; Metazoa; Chordata; Mammalia; Primates; Hominidae.
GUAAUUUUAUCAUGUAGUUAUAGUUAAUAUUAAAUCCCCAAACCUACUUAGGUCUACUCUGUAUUUGUGUUUUCAAAUAAUUUUUUUAGCUUCCAAAUAGAAGCGUUGUAUUCUUUUCUGAAUUAGAAAACAUUGUUCGACUCAAUUGCUAAAGAGUUAGACAAUCAUUUUGCAUAUGUUUAUUAUGUCUUACAUUGUUUGCAUUGUUACCUAGAUUCUCUUUCAUCUUUCAAUGUCAGUUUUUAUUGGUUUAUUAUAUGUUGUUUAUUUUCUUUUUAGGAAGCCAUCAUUCUUCAGAGGGCAAUGAAGGCACAGAAAUGGAAGUACCAGCAGAAGAUUCUACUCAACAUGUCCCUUCAGAAACAAGUGAGGACCCUGAAGUUGAGGUGACUAUUGAAGAUGAUGAUUAUUCUCCACCGUCUAAGAGACCAAAGGCCAAUGAGCUACCGCAGCCACCAGUCCCGGAACCCGCCAACGCUGGGAAGCGGAAAGUGAGGGAGUUCAACUUCGAGAAAUGGAAUGCUCGCAUCACUGAUCUACGUAAACAAGUUGAAGAAUUGUUUGAAAGGAA